CCUGUAAUACUUGCACUAGGUUAAAUGUCAAUCGUAUUGAUCGUUUAACCGUAGAAUGAUUCUUAAUCGUUGAUCAACCAUCCGAUUAGAUUAUGAACUCUAAUGUAUGUGACCUCAUAAGUCUAAACCUAAGCUGGUAGCAUAGGAAUAAAUUUUUAUACCAAUCGAAGUGAUCAUCUAGCAAUGGUACCCGAUGGUCGGAUAGGUCGAAUGUAUAGAACAACAUCCUUAGAAUCCAUGUGGAUAUAGUUUUCAUAUAAUUCAUCUCC
Molecule: long non-coding RNA, 269 nt
Filed under: Elaeis guineensis (African oil palm)
Lineage: Eukaryota; Viridiplantae; Streptophyta; Magnoliopsida; Arecales; Arecaceae
Description: long non-coding RNA (EGUI_LNC051937)
Source: RNAcentral